CCUACGGGAGGCAGCAGUGGGGGAUAUUGCACAAUGGGCGAAACCCUGAUGCAGCGACGCCGCGUGUGGGAAGACGGUCCUCUGGAUUGUAAACCACUGUCCCCAGGGACGACGAUGACGGUACCUGGGGCGGAAGCUCCGGCUAACUACGUGACAGCAGCCGCGGUAAUACGUAGGGAGCGAGCGUUGUCCGGAAUUACUGGGUGUAAAGGGAGCGUAGGCGGGGAUGCAAGUUGGGUGUCAAGACUACCGGCUCAACUGGUAGGCGCACUCAAAACUGCAGCUCUUGAGUGAAGUAGAGGCAGGCGGAAUGCCUAGUGUAGCGGUGAAAUGCGUAGAUAGUAGGAGGAACACCAGUGGCGAAGGCGGCCUGCUGGGCUUUUACUGACGCUGAGGCUCGAAAGUGUGGGGAGCAAACAGGAUUAGAUACCCGAGUAGUC
Molecule: ribosomal RNA, 440 nt
Filed under: uncultured bacterium
Lineage: Bacteria
Description: partial 16S ribosomal RNA
Rfam family: Bacterial small subunit ribosomal RNA
Source: RNAcentral